GAGUAUCUUGCAUUGUAUUGCUUUAUUGUUGUCAUAUUAUCCUCAUUAUUCUCCUUCAAAGUACGUAGUAUGUUACUUGGUUUAACCAUGCUUUUAGUCAUAUCAACAAGCAUGGAAUAUUCAUUCGCUUUUAAUCUGCCUGCAUAUGAAUGACCAACUAAUGUAUCAUACAAAUCAUGAUUAUGAGUAUCACAUAUUACCUUAAGUACCCAACCUUGACCCUUUCCAAUAGGUUUACCUCGCAAUUUAAAGGAACAUUGACAUUUUCGAGUACCGGUUACAGUAACCUCCAAACCAUCCUUGUACUUUCUGUAACUACC
RNAcentral lists this long non-coding RNA (320 nucleotides) under Phaseolus vulgaris (common bean). RNAcentral describes it as "long non-coding RNA (PVUL_LNC005161)". Lineage: Eukaryota; Viridiplantae; Streptophyta; Magnoliopsida; Fabales; Fabaceae. The record is from RNAcentral.